AUUGAACGCUGGCGGCAGGCCUAACACAUGCAAGUCGAACGAGUGGCGGACGGGUGAGUAAUGUCUCGGAACCUGCCUGAUGGCGGGGGAUAACUACUGGAAACGGUAGCUAAUACCGCAUACCAUCAGAUGUGCCCAGAUGGGAUUAGCUAGUUGGUGGGGUAACGGCUCACCAAGGCGACGAUCCCUAGCUGGUCUGAGAGGAUGACCAGCCACACUGGAACUGAGACACGGCCCAGACUCCGACGGGAGGCAGCAGUGGGGAAUAUUGCACAAUGGGGGAAAGCCUGAUGCAGCCAUGCCGCGUGUAUGAAGAAGGCCUUCGGGUUGUAAAGUACUUUCAGCAGGGAGGCGUUACCCGCAGAAGAAGCACCGGCUAACUCCGUGCCAGCAGCCGCGGUAAUAC
Molecule: ribosomal RNA, 406 nt
Filed under: uncultured bacterium
Lineage: Bacteria
Description: partial 16S ribosomal RNA
Rfam family: Bacterial small subunit ribosomal RNA
Source: RNAcentral